GUCUACAGUUCAUUCCUGAAGAAAACUCAUGCUGGAGUCUGAUACCACAACAAUGGUGAGCUGCAAGUCAUAGGCAUGAGCAGGACCCCCAGCUCUGCUUGAAGCCCCCUCAUUAAGGGACAUAGAUAGCAGAAGGUGACUUAUAUGUCACGGGUGGAGCACUCGAGUGCCCAGGACCUUGAUGUCCGUCUGAAUGCGCCGAAUCUCUCUGUCACUGCCGCCCUCCCGCUCACGACUGAUAUUAAAUGGACUCUGCGGCAGCAACGGCGGCACAUGCAAGUUGCUGAGCUCUGCAAAGCUGCAGUGACACUUCAGAUUCACGGCUUUGCCCUGGCUGAACUCGCACACGGCUGACCCCCCUGGAGCUUCCCCAUGGAUCCAGCCGGAGGUUUCCGCAGAGCUGCUGCUUGUCGGGCUGCACCUUUCCCUGCCUGCGGCACGUGAGGGACAGCAGCCGUGGCCAGCCUGGGCGCAGACGUUUUGGCAAGCCAAGUCUACUGGCUGAGUGUGAAACACUUGGACACCGUGGUGAUCAGGGCUAUGUCUGUGCCCACAGAGCAUGACAUUUAACAAAACCCCUAGCUCUGCAAAGUGUGCAUAUUCAAGAACAUAGUAUGUAUUACUGUCUGUUUUUAAGYGUCCCCAAAAUUUAUUGAAGAAAUAGCCAGUAUUUAAUUGGUGGUUAUGGACUCCUGUGGGAGCUGCUCCAAAACUUGCCAAACUUAGCGGGCCAUUUGCUCUACAGGUUAACUCAGGAGGGAUUUCAAAAGCCAGCCAUGAGUCUUCUGGUCUUGGAUUUGUAGAAACAGCAGCAAAAUUAAUUGAAUUCACCCAGGGCUGCUAAACACAAAAGUUCUGCUUCUGGGGGAAUCUGAGGCACAGGCCACUGUAACAUGGGAGAACGCAGGAGAAAAACAUCACAUUCCUUASACUAAUCUUGCCCCCAGUCUUGGCACUCACUGCUGGCCCUCACCAGAGGCAGGAUCCGAAGCUGUGCAGCCAUUGCCRUGUGUGAG
This is a long non-coding RNA of Nothoprocta perdicaria, 1016 nucleotides long. RefSeq lists it as uncharacterized. The record is from RefSeq and is a predicted model, not a curated record. The transcript has 4 exons. NCBI's taxonomy places the organism in Eukaryota, Metazoa, Chordata, Aves, Tinamiformes, Tinamidae.